UACGAAGGGGGCUAGCGUUACUCGGAAUUACUGGGCGUAAAGCGUGCGUAGGCUGUUUUGUAAGUUGGUAGUUAAAUUCUCGAGCUUAACUCGAGGCCUGCUAUCAAGACUGCAAGACUUGAGUAUUGGAGAAGAUAGUGGAAUUCCUAGUGUAGAGGUGAAAUUCAUAGAUAUUAGGAGGAACACCAGAGGCGAAAGCGACUAUCUGGCCAAAAACUGACGCUGUUGCACGAAAGCGUGGGGAGCAAACAGG
RNAcentral lists this ribosomal RNA (253 nucleotides) under uncultured bacterium. RNAcentral describes it as "partial 16S ribosomal RNA". It matches the Rfam family "Bacterial small subunit ribosomal RNA", at positions 524 to 776 of the family's 1533-position model. The record is from RNAcentral.